This is a small nuclear RNA of 55 nucleotides. Its record names the gene U7. It matches the Rfam family "U7 small nuclear RNA". From Rfam's summary of the family: Animal histone pre-mRNAs are spliced by a different mechanism than nuclear pre-mRNAs and self-splicing introns. This processing involves the U7 snRNP, which contains only one RNA species: U7. The record is from Ensembl.
AAACCUUUGCUCUUUUAGUAUUUUUCCAGUAGGCUUUCUCAAUGAGAAGGCCCCC